ACGGCCGCUCAGGGAGCUGAGGGUAUAGCGUUUUCGCCUUAGACUUUCUUGGGUGCAGGCCCACACCACCUCAGCAGCCUGCCCGGCAGUCCUCUUUUCCCAGGUUUUGGCGUUUAGACAACCCACCUGAGUCCUCAGCCUUGUCCCACACAGCAAGGUACAAGGGACCGGACGUCUGCCUCCUCAGCAGCGCAGCGCACAAGCUUCCUGUCAUCCCGGCGCCCACGAUCAGCACCUGCGCCAUGGCGAGAGGGAGCAGCGAUCCGCGCUGAGUCUCUGCGGCGGGGCCGUUCGGCCCGGGCUUUCUGGAAAGGCGGCCGAACCGGCGCUAGCGCUCUUUGGUUCCGUGCUCCCUGGGCCGACCUGGGCCCUGAGCUUUCCUCCGGCCGGCCUGCAGGGGGCGGAAAGGAGGCGGCCGGAGCUGAGAGGCCCCUCCGUCCUUGAGGAGCAAACCUGGGGCUGCGGAGAACCGGGGCUGUCUGUCUUCUCGCUUUGGGGGCCGGGCGCCCUGCCCCUCGCCCAGAAAAGCCUGGAAAUGGUGUGGGCUAUUGUUGGGAGAACCCGCCUCGCAACAGAGCUGACGUUGACCACAGCAGAGAAGCAGCUUAACCUAUCUACUGCGAUAACUCUCAUGCCUGUUGGGAUUUUUGCUGUUUUACUAUUCUAGAUUUGAAAGUGGGAAGAAGAAUUUACCAGCGAUACCACGGGCAACCUUUCCUCUAAUGCUUGAACGGCCACUAUUAGCAUAAUAGAAACAUCUUUUGGAAUCUGGGAGACAUUUUUCUUAGACCUGGGACUUUGUGUAACCUUCCUGAAC
This 817-nucleotide long non-coding RNA is filed under the name Homo sapiens (human). RNAcentral describes it as "LHRI_LNC1762.1". Lineage: Eukaryota; Metazoa; Chordata; Mammalia; Primates; Hominidae. The record is from RNAcentral.